CGCCGCCGCGGGGCCUCCGACUGCGCACCCGGCCAGGUUCCGGAGAGCGGGCAGGGAGCGCGGGCCGAGGCUGCCCUCGCGCCCCUGGCUGCCGGCCUAAGGGCUCGCUCGCACGCACGCCUCCGCUCGUCACCCUCGCCUUGCCGGCGUGCGGACAGGGCCUGCGGCGGUGGGAAAUCUGGGAAAUCGGAGCGCAGCGCAGGACCGCGCGGGAGGCCGGCGGGACGCAGCGCGCACAGACCCCGGUGAGUGGCUGCGGCGCUGACGGUCGCGCGCCGGGCUUGGCCUCUCUGCCAGGGUCUCGGGUGGAGAGGAGGGCGGGGGUGUCUCCAGUCUCCACAGGUCGUCGCGAGGAGCCGCACGGCCGUGCCCCGGAGCCAGCUGGGGCGAGAGGCGUGUGCCGGGCUCUGAGCGGGACCUGCGGCUUCUUCAAAGCCCCGGACCGCAAGGGUUUCUCCCGACUCCGCGCUCCCCGCUGGCCUCCCUCUCCCUCUCCCGGCCCUUCGCCGCCCGCAGGGGACGCCUGGUCGCCUCGGGGCGCCAGGCCCGUCCCUGCCAGGAGCUGGGGGCUUAGCCUGCCCCGCUGUCGCCGCCUCUCCACGAAGAGCAGAGCUCCUGGGAGAGCAGAGCCUCCUUCCGCCCUGUGCUUUCGGCCAGGCCCCGCCGGCGGACACCUCGGGCGCGGAGGGAAGGUCCAGGGUAGGCCCUGGGCGCGGCGGUCUCGGGUAUUCUCGGACCCGGCCGCCGCACACAGCCGCCUCCGCGCCCUCCGCCCCUGCCUUUCCCGGAGCGCUGUGGCACCGCUCGGACCCCAGCCUGGGGCAUCACGCACCCUCGCUGGACGCCCUCGCGCACUCGCAUUCUCUUCCCGCUGUGUCCCCUCGCCCCCAGGGAGGGACGUCAGGGACGGAAUAGCUGAGUUUCCCCGAAAUGGAGUAACUUCCUUUCCUGUUCCUGCUCCUCCACUCGUGGGGACCCCCAGAGUGAGGGGAAUCUACUGAAGGCGAAAUUGGGGAGCCCUUUUCUAGCAGCCGCCUUCCCCUGUAGGCUCUGUCCGGUUUAGGGGUCUUGGGGUCCCAUCUUUGGCUCACCCAGAAUUCAGUUUUCCUGCCCCCCUUUGUCCUUCACAGGCUUCCCUGGGGGGGGAGGGGAGCUUCUUAGGUUUGGGGGCAGAGAGCUGUGCCUGUGGGUGGAAGUAUGGUGUGGGGGCCACGUUACUCACUCACUCAGGCCCCAGCAGCGAAGCAGACUCUGCCUGGACCCCAGGGCCUUGAGGUGUGGAGCUAGAGUCCCAGGGAUGCCCAGGGCCGGCGCUCGCCAAAUCCUGCUCUCUCCUGGGGUGGCAGAGGAGGUGGGAGCCUGAGAGGGGAGGGGGGAACCACAGCCACAGCCACGCAAGGAGACUUUUCUGUGAGGAGCCAAGUUCUUGGUUCUCCAGAUGCCAGAGAGGUUUCCCUUAACCAGACACUUUUGAGGUGAGGACACUGAGCCCCAGAGGGGACUUGGGCCUGGCCAGCCCAGCUCAGCUGGCGGGGUUGGGCUGCCAGUGACCUUCCCUCCAAGCCCUCCUCUCUCCAAGCACGGAGGGUGGUGGCCUCUCUUCCCCCUGCCUCCUUGUGGUCAGAGAGAGUGGGCUUUUGGAAGGCUUCAUCGGCGCACAGCCUGGCUUUCCAGCUCCAGGGGAAAGAGACUCAUGGGAAAACCGUGGUAUUAAGAUGGUUACCACAGGGCCAGGGGUGUAGCUGAGCGGCUCAGCGCCUGCCUGGCAAGCUCGAGGCCCUCAGAUCGAUUCCCGGUAUAAUAUAAAAUAAAAUAGUUAGACAACCACAGCCGCAGGACAGGAAGCAGGCUGCUCGGUGGCUCACUAUGUGGUACUGGGCGCAUCACUCCUUAGACGGGUCCCAAAGGGGCUUGAACCCCUUUGAUGAUGUGGGGAGUUUGAUAACUUGGGUGAUUACUGUCCUGCCUGCACCCACUCCCAAGGUGCAUAACCGUGACACCUCUGCGGGGGUUUUCUUUGAGGUCUUGCGGGAAGCAUGGAACUCAUUCGUAAACCUACACCCCACCCACAAGCACAGAAUUGUAACUGUCCCUCCACAGUUGUUUGAUCUCGCGGGAACUCCUCCAAGUCAGCACCCCCUCCCUUAGUGAUGGGGCUCAGGGGGGUUGCUCGAUCCUCCACGACCCUGCAGGGCCAGGACCCAAACUGGACCCCCCCACACACCAGGAUAAGGGCAGGGAGACCCUGCACAUCAGAUUCACAGGGUGGAUGGAGAUCCAGCCCCCCAACCCCGCGGGAUGCCACCUAAGCUGACUCUUUCUCUGAAAGUGGAACCCGUAAUGCUGCCCACUCUUAGGCUCAGGGGAGGGUGCAGCAGGGCAGGGAGCUGGGGGACCCUUUCAAAUGGGAGCGAGGCCUCAGGGGCUCAGCCUGCGAGAAAACACUGCCUUUAGCUUAAAAUCUGCAGACACCUCUCCCAUCCUAAGUCAAAGCUGUGUGCGCCCCCAUGCAGGCAGAGGAACCCCCAGAACUGGGGUGGGUGGGUAAGAGACAUGCCCGCGUCGCGUCCACUCCCCAGGCCCGAGGUAUUUUCACUGGCUAAUUGCUUAAGUGAAGCCGCCGGGCGCGAGCGCCGUAACCCGAGCUCCGAACCAGAUCCGGCUCUCGGUGUGCGCCGGCCGCCGACCACCCACCGCGAGGGCAGCCGCCCUGCCUGACGCCCCUGCUCCGCAUUAGCCCGCUUCGCCCCCCACCCCUGCUCCUCGCAGCCCCGCAAGCUUCGUCCCUUGGUAGGUAGGGUGGCCGGGCUGCACCAACGGGGUGCGGGGCAGUGGGGAAGUGGAGUCCUGGGGCUCUGGUAGGGACGGCAGCUUCGGUGCGGCCUGGGUCUAGGGGUGUGUGUUGGGCUUGGUACCCAGAACUGCAGGGGGAAGGUCAGGGUCGGGGGGAGGAGGGUGGCCUGCUUGGAUCACAGCUGACCUGCGUGCAGAGUCUGCAGGGGCUUGGACCUGCAGACUGGUGCCAAAACAGAACCCGGCUGCAGGGCAUCCCCCGGAAGCUGGGCGCAGAGAGGCUUCUGAGGACAGCAGAGAGCCAGCACAGGGGCUCCCUGUGUGUCGCCAUUUUAAGAUGUUCUGUUUAACGGUCUAACAGGCACUCGCAGAAACACCCCAGAAUACUAUGGCGCGCUGGGCACCGAGCAGUGUAAAUGAGCAUGCAAGGGGACAGUGCCGUGUGCAGUCAGGAUGGUCCAGGCAGCCCGCUGCUCAGGUUGGCGUAGUCUGAGUGUGCCACACAGCGUGUUCCGAGCUCCGCAGGCCCCGUUGUCACACGCAGAGGAUCAGAGGACAUGUGGAGACGUGUGCCAGUGCAGGGUGCCUCGUUAGGCCAAGGGGUCACAGGGGUGACACAGCAGCAUCAGCCGCAGCCGCAGGCAGAGGGAUCUGCAGGGCGAUGCGCGUCCCCCAGGUGUCAGGCACGCUUUCAGGGCGUGUGACACGGGGUGGACAUGGUGCAAGCGUGACAGCGGACCGGACUGUGGCCAAGGACACCUGCCAGCCCUUGCUAGGCAGGGUAGGGCCUCCCCACUCACAGAACUCCCACCCUGAUCCCGAAGGCAGGGUCUGCUUUGAUCUCGGGUUCCAAAACACAAUGACACACCUACUUUAUUUCUAUGGUGACAGAUGGGCCCCUGAGAGAUGGGGUCCUGCACGGUACAGAGAUGUGGGGACCCUGUUCGCCCCGUGUGAGCCCUGACAGGGGAUUCCCCUCUCCGUAGCUGCAGAAAGGAGGUGCACGAUAAGGGAGGUGUGCAGAGGGGGCCCGCAGUAUCGGCGCGGCAGGGAAAGCCCUCCUUUGGGAUGACCUGCAGUGUCCCUUGCUGCCUCUUUAAGCUCAAAGCAAGGCAGUCAGAGCAAGCCGGACUCCAAGCCCCAGACUGGGAGAAGGGCGGGGGAGGAGGAAAGCAGCCACCUGGGUCGCACCUAGUCCUGCAGCACCCCCAGGGCAAGGUGGGGCUCAGUAACCCCUGGCAGUGUGGGCGGCAGCGGUGACCAGGGCCGCCCCUGGACGCAGGCCCUGGUGUUCAUCUCCCAUCAGCUCCACCUUGGGAAGAGGCUCGGGGUUUAGUCACCGCUCCCCCCCGCCCCCAUGCUUGGCCGUCGCUGCAGCCGGCGCUUGCCCCUUCCACUUGGCCCUUUUACCCGAAAGCACACAUUUUCCAUGACGUUCUUCAAUGAAAUAUUUGACAACAGUGCAGCCCAGGAAUUUACAGCUCUUCCCUGCAAGAUGGCUGGGAGUUUUCUGGCAUUUGCAGUACACGAAGCUCCAAGAACCAGCCCACCGGAGGGACACCCGGCCUCCAGCCCCCUGGGUCUGGUGCAGCCCCUUCCCGUGGAUACAGCCCCCAGAACCCCCGCAUAUGUUUGUCUCUGCUGAGCGGUGUUCGAAUGGGAGACGACUUCCUUGCAGUGCAUGCUUGCCCGUGUGUGUGUGUUUGGGGGUGCUCAAGGGGCCCCUGAGCCAGUUUCUGAGCUGAUGAUCUGUGCUGAAGUAGAGCGAGCACAGAAAGGUGCUCAGAGAGGGACAGGAGGGCUGUGGCCCCGGGACAGGCCCCCAACCUGGGGAUGAAGAGAAGGGUCCCAGACUACCAGCCAAAAGGAAAACAUAAAUUCAAUGCCAAGGGGCCGUUGCUUAGUAUUUUUCAGAUAUGAGGGGCCCCAAGAGGGAGGGACUCACAUGACAAGGGAACAGGGUGGGGGAACACUGCCGCCCAGAUGGGGCUCUGAGCCCAAGCAGCCGUGUGUGCCCAGGACCCUGUCCAAGUGCCCACCUGAGUGCCAGCUCACAGGCUGCAGAUGAGAAGAACGGGUGUUCAGGGGGACACCAACUGCACACACCUGACUGCCCGGGUGGAGGGGCUUCCCUGCUCCGUGCAGCCUGCCCAGGCUGCUGGCAACAGGACUCCCUCUCCCCAUGCCCUCGCCAGUCUAGCCCGGGCCUUUUGUCCCAGCCAGGUUGUAGCUCUGUGGCUCUAGGGACCUGGGCGAGUUGUGCCUGGGCAGGCCUGGCCCUGUGCACACCCGGAGGAAGCCCCUCUGGAGUUCAGCCCACCCUUGGGCUAGGGUGAUAGGGUCCCAGGGGAGGAAGCGGGGUAGCCAAGCCUGGGAGGGGAGUCAGGCAGGUGCACCAGAAAGCAGACAGUGCUGGAGGGAGAGCCCACACCCGAGAUGAGAUGGGGAAUUUCAGGCAGCAGGCUGAGCGCCCCAGUGGAGUACGGCCCGUGUCCACAGGACAGGGUGGCAGGGCACGGCAGGGCCAGGCCCUGGGGACAAGGAGGCCCAUUAGAGCGGGCCCACCCCAGACCGAUGUAGCACCUGUCUCUCCUUAGCUCUGGCCUCAGGCAAGCGCUUCAGCCUCUAGCGCCUCAGUUUCCUCUUUGUGCACCAGGGGAACAGAGCCAACCUGGAACCAGAGGAGAGACACAGGGCUUGCGCUGCAGUUGUGAAGGGGCUGGCGGCCUUGUGGAUGAUGGCAUCGUAAAUUGAAAUCCAGACCAGGGGGGAAUUGUUAAACAAACACCUGCAAGUGAUGAGGAGCUUGGGCCCUGUCUGGUUCCACUCAGCUCCACGGCUGUGCGGCCCUGGACGGUGGUCUUACCUCUCUGAGCCUCCUGUUCCUCAACUGUAAAAGAAGGGCGAGGGUGGUACCUCUCUUGGGGUAGAUGACCCCACAGUUGCCCACUGUGGUUGUUAUUUAGAGUUUUGGGGGGCUGGAGGGUAAGAUGCGUACCUCCCUGAAUGUCUGGGAGCCCUGCUUGAGAACCGGUGGCCUGAAGACCAGCUGCCCUGACUCGGCCGGCCGAGGGCUCCGAGUGGCCAGGGGCCUCCCUGGGUCUGCCGAGAGUUCAGGGUGACACAGCAAGGACGUUCAGAGCUCUCUGGGGAGUGCCUCUGCCAGCUCCGUCCUGCCACCCUGCCUUCUGUUCUCCCUGGUCCCGGGGCAGCAGGGCGGCAUCUGCAGUGGGCUGCCCGCACGCAUGUUCGCCUGCUGUGUGCAUUCUGGCCGGCCUCUCUCGGAGCCCCUUUUCUCCUCUGUGAGAUGGACAGAAUUAUAGGGCCUCCACCCCCGGCUGCUGUGCAGACCAAAGGUGGCCAGCAUCCCCCUCGGAGAGCCCGGCACCUGCUGUGUGUGGCACCAUGUGGAGAACGUGCUGUCAUUCUUGGAUUUGAUGCUGAAUCCGCCUCACAGGCAGGAGAGCAAGGCACAGCUAGCCGGCCGGGUGUGGUGGGAGGACUCAUUUUAAGGGUGCAGACAGGAGGUGCCCCCAAUUCUGCUUAGGUGGCAGGGCAAGCUUAACAGCUCUUUGCACACCCUCCCGACCCCAGUUUCCACUGCACUUAAUAACAGAAUAACAGCCUCCAGCCAGGUCCGAGGGAGCAAGUGGGAGGCAGGAUCAGAAGCCUCCAGGAGCCCCCCGACUCCGCCCGCUUCCCGGCACUGCUCCCCACGGCCCAGUUUCUGAGAAAUGCCUGGGAGGCUGAGGGUGGAUGCCUGGAGCCUCCCACCCGACAGCUGCACCCUGGGUGGGGACAAAGCCCCUCCUCUGGUGCCCCUUCCCCAGGUCCCCAGAAGAGUCUGGCCCUGGCUCCUUUCCUGCCAGACCAGAGCAGACGGCCCUGAGCAAAGGGCGCCGGGCAGCCUCAGCUUAGGUCCCGGAGGGCAGCAGGGACCUCCCAGCCACCGCAGAAGCAGGCCCUGGGCGGUCCUCGGAGGGGCUCCUGACCGACAGGCACACUGCACCCUGGGGCCCCGAAAGCAGCCCUCACCCAGGGCAAGGAGCUCCUUGUAAUUUAGGAGGCCAAGGCAGGAGAAUCAAAGCUCCAGCCAGCCUGGCUAACUUGGCAGGAGCCUGCCUCGAAGUAAAAAUCAAAAGGGUGGGGAUGUAGCUCAGGGGCUGAGCGCACGGGUUCAAUCCCCAGGAAGGCACAAAGUAAGAAACUGCUACUAAUAAAACACGCCCGUCCCUUUCUGUGAUUAUUGUUUUUGUUUCUUGGUGUUCGUUCUCUCUCUUACAGCCCUCGGCUCUCGGCUCUCUAACUUCGUAGAAUUUAAAAAUCAAAUGAAGGCAAAAACAAGACAGCCAUUUAAACCUUCCGGUCCUUUUCUUAUGAAAUAUAUUUUCUCAGUGCUUGAACACACCACUUCUUUAGGCAAUCGGAUUGCUCUCAGAGUCUGGGCAGAUUUGCGUCUGAAGUGGGCUCGCUGGUCUACUCCUGUACCCCAGCACCCCCUUAACCCUCACAGCGGGCAUUUUUUUCUUUCCAGUGAGCCAUUAAUUACCUGCAAAAGCUCCGUGCCCAGCACUCGGAGAGGAUCGAGGCCGGCCGCUUUAGAAAGCACACACCUGGAAUUAUGUCCAAUUUUGUGUUGUGUCCCUAGGUCAGAGGCCCCUUCCUGGCGUUCUCCAUGCUGGUGGAGAAAGACUUCGCCCCUUCUGGUUGCACGCCAGCGUCCCCUCGGCCGGGUCACUGUUUCCCCCACCAAAUUGGGCUGAGACCCAUUUAAUUCGCCGUGAAAACUAACUUAAUUAGGAGCCGAGUGCGCUCUUGGGUGGGAGGCAGCAGGCUCUUCGCCCAUCUCCCUCGCUGCCCUCCGCUCUCCGCAUUUGCAAAGCCGCCCUUCCCCGCGAGGAGCCGGGCUGCCUGCCUCUCACUUUUCCUCAGGUUGCCGGUCUCAGGUGGAAUCUCAGGGGCUGGCUUUCGGCGGAGGCGGUGCCCUGAGCCCGUGGGAAGCAGAACCCGCUUCUUUCCGAGCCCCAGGCUCCUGGUGCCCCAAGUGCCUCUGGCCAGACUCCGCCUGCCGGUGACGGCCUGGACAGCUCCGGGUCCUACAGCCCGGGUGGCGACCGCUGCGCUGGUGUCGAGAUGCCACAGUCCUUUAACCCUGGUUCAGGCUAAUGACGGGUCCUGCCUGCGUGAAUGCCGUGUUUAUUUUACCUCCACCAGCUCAGGGGAGGGGGUGCACCCGGGCGCCCGGCAAGGGACGUGGAGCCACAGAAGCAGAGCCCGCUCUGCAGGCGAAGGGUCUGCGCAUCGCCUUCUCCCUCACCGGGCCGCCGCGGCGGAGAUCAAUGCGACUCAGCCUCGUGUCCUGGGGAGCCCAGAGCUGCAGCCCCGGAGCGUGCAGGACUCGGGGCGCCCAAGGCCCGCAGCCCUGGGAGGCGCCUUCUGGAAGUCAACUCCAUGCACUCUCCAGCCGCUCGCUUGGCUGUGGUAAGCGUGCCCAGCUCCGGGUCUGGCCGCCACCGCCCUCCCCCAGCAGGGGUGACAAUGCCUCAGGGGCCCCUGCUUUGGUCCCUAAGCCACCUCGCUUGCCUCAGAGGGUGGCACCUGGAUGGGAAGCCCAGGUCUGUGUGUGGGGCACCUGGAACUGUUUUUUCUCCCUGCAAAACCUAGAAAUGCGCUCAAAGUGGGAGAUGUCUGGGGAUGUGUCUACACGGUAGUGGGAAACAGUGGGUCCUAAAGAUUGUGUGCCGAGGGAGGUUAACACACCGCAGACGUGUCUCGUGGGCAUUUCCAGCUGCGUCAGGCCCAGAAUUAUGUGGAUGUGGCUGCCUAUUUCACCUGCUGGUGCUGGUGUCCACAGAACCCAGACCCCGGCUACCAGCGAGGCUGGCUGACUCCCCAGUGCCAGAUCCAAAAGUCCAGUUUUCAGUUCCGGCAGGGGUAGGGCUGAAAAGGGGGACAGUGGGGAGCAAGGGGGCUGGGCCAGGUCAUCCUGAGGCUCAGGGCCCCCACAGGAGCACAGGGCGUGGGGGGGGGCUGCCAGCCAGGUGACAGACAGGGAGGGUCCCCUCUCCUGGCCGAGAGCCUUCCGCGUACAGCUCCUGCUCCUGGGAGCCCACCCUGCGGGGCAGCCUCCCAAUCCCUCCUGCCCCCAACCCUUCCUCCAUCAGGUUGAGGACGCCGUGGGUUCCAACUCAAUUAGCUCACGGAGGCGGCCCGCAGCCGGCGACAGCUGCUCAGCUGCUCCGCGAUUAAGUCCGGGCGGGCAGCACAGGGGCGGAGCGGGCAGGUAAAGAGGAACCAAUUUGCCCCGAGGCUUUAUCAACAAGUGGUUUAAGGAGGAAUUUGCGUUGACAACUCGGCACCUCGGUCGGGGCUGGCUCGGCCACGGCAGCGGGCAGGGAUGACAGGCCGAGCCGUGGGGUGCGUGUGAUGGAGCCGCGGAGCCCAGCGGCACAGUGACAGCAGGGACCUCGGCCCGGCCCGCAUGGGACGCGCAGGACGGGGUGGUGGGAACACGGGCCGGGCACGGAGGGUCUUCCCCAGCGAAGUAGGUGGCCGUGUAUAUUUUUGUUCAAGUGGUGUUUAUGUUAAUGAAAAAAGGGUGGAAUUACAAACAGUGCGAGGCCUCCGGGGAGGCGCUGCACUCUCGCCCCAGGCCCGAUCCAGGGCGGGCAUCCCAGCCAGAGAAACCCCCUACCCCUUCCAGGGUGAUGGCUACACCCUCCCAGGCCUCCGCCCCCAAGCCCAGAGCCCUUUGUGUGCAGUCACCCAGCUUCGGGAGAGGCCGGCGACUCCCCAGUCACCCCCUCCACCCUGGCCAGCACUGCAAUCGGGGUUGUGGAUAGAAAAAUGCCAAUUUAAGUCCCGGUGCAGAAAGGCACUGGAUAACUCUUUGGGAGCCUGGAGUGUGGGCAGAAUUCAGCUCCCCACCCCUUUCCACCCUGUCUCUUUCUUCCUUUGUAUUUUCUUUCCGUUUUGUAACUAGCCAGGGUUUUGAUAUUUGUUUCCCACCGGGCUCCCCUUUUUCCUGGGGCUCUCCGCAGGCCACCUGGUGUGCCUGGCCCACAAGGACUGUCUCACUUCUUUUCCCCAACACCCGCUGCCAGCCUUCCAUCCACAGAUAGGAAGGGGUGGCUGGAGCCCCAUCUUCCCCUGGCUCCUGUCCUUUGGUUAAGGAGAAGCCAGCAGGGAAAGCCGAGGCAGGAGAGCGCCUGGCAGCCCCAGCAUGGGAGGCUACACCAGGCUGGUGGGGGUUCUGGCCAGGCUAGGCAGGCCCCUUCUGGGCAAAGUGAGGUAGUGUCUUGGCCGGUGGACAGUUGAGGCCUUGUCUGAUCUUUUCCUGGAAGACACUGGACACAGGAGAUUCAGGUUACCCGGUCCAUUUCUGCGGCCUCUACCAGGCUGCUCUGCAGACUCUGCUACUUGAAGCCCCUUCUGAUGAGUUCAGCCCUAGCCAGGUCUGCAGGGAGCAGGCAGGGGCCUAGACACGCCGCCCACCUGGAGAGCCGGACCUCCUGGCAGUUUUGGGGACCCACAGCCCCCCACCCGUUUGAAUCUGUGCCGCCCCAACCAACCGUGGAGCAGCCCUGCAGCUUGGAAGGCUGAGCUCUGCAGGCGGCUAGGUCCACAGCAGAAGGAAGUCAGCCCAGGAGGGGCACAGCUGUGGGGACAGGAGGGACAGGGUCCUUGCUCUGCCUCUGGACGCUCUGCUCCCCUCAUUCAGACUCCAGGCUCAGGUAGAAAAAAUGCCCACAUAUGAGGGGGCCGAGGUCCGGAUCAGGGUCUGGGCCCCAUGCUCCCCCUCUGGCCAGCUCCGUGCUGGGUUCAGUGAGGCUGAGGGCCCCGGGGACAGGCGCCUCGCCUCAGGCUCGCACCUGGUGAGUCCCUCCCUCCCCAGCCUCCAGAACGAGAACACCAGGACAGAACAAAGUGGGCCUCAGUCACCGUUAUCGGGCGCCCCCUUCUUUCAAAGAGCUACCAUUUGUCAAACCCGCUGACAUUUGCUUGACGGGUUUUGUAGCAUUGACGCUGAGCAGCGGGGAUAAGAAUCCCAGCGGGGGAGAGGGGAGCUGGCUCGGAGUGGGGCCUGGCUGGCCGCAGGCCUGGAUCCGACACUCUCCUGUGGCUGCCCCUGCUUCCUGUAGAGGCUUGGAGGUGCUGGGCCCGAGCCUGGGGACCUGAAUGAGGGCUGUGCAGAGCCAUUUGUCAGCAAGGGCGUCUCCUGCCUCGGUCACCUGGGCAGGUGGCUUCCAGCCCUGGCGGCGGGUGGGACGGGUGGGUGUUGGGCAGCUUCGCACCUGCACCGCCAGUCUUCUUGGGGGGGGUGAGGUGCAUGCCAGAGUGCUCCUCUAGUGCUGGGGGGCUGGGUUUUUUUGAGGGGGGCUCAGGAAACAGAGGGUCGGGCAUGCGACCCCAGUGUCCCCUUCAGGCUAGGGGUUUCCUCAGUCUGCCCACAUCCCGGGAUUCCAGUCGGCCCAAAUACCUCGCAGCCCCCGCCCCCUCCCCGAGCAAGCAUCAGCACCCAGCUCCGGAGUCAGUCCCUUUCUCCUCCAACACUUUCCCUGAGCUGGUGGAUGCCAGAUGCCCAGCCCCAAACUCACUGCCAGCCCCUUCGGUGCAUCCAAGCCAGUUCUCCAUCCUGCAAUUAAACUCAAGGUCAAAUAUCUCCUUAACGACGCUAUCAGGCCAGCGGGCUCAUUUUGGCAUAUAUUUAGCUAUAAAAUACUGGUUGUUGCGAGGAGGAGAUGAAAAUUAUUGUGUUCUGGGAAUGAAUCCUUUUAGCAGAAACCAGAGCUGUUAUUUACCACGGAGAACUAAGUACAGGCUCAGUCUUCCAGGCAGUCCCAGCAGGCCCAGCCACCUUCCAGACCCUUUCCGGCUGAGCCUGAGCCCCUGCCGCCUGGGCUGUGCUGUCCAGAGCUGUGCUGCUCCGAGUGACCCACCAGCAGGCUGCAAGGGAGCCUCGGCAGGCUGCAGGAGGGGCGCAUGGGCCAGGGCUGGGUGGACCAGGCUGGAGGCCAACAGGGCUGCACAGCGUGUGAAGGGUGGCUCUGCCUCUGUCGCACUUGCUGCCUUGGAGGGGUGUCCCAACCUCUCUGGCUCUCUGAAUCAAUCGGGGAGAAGUCAAACUUCCUCUCAGGAAGCCUGGGAGAAUUUCAUCAGAUGCUAAUGCGGGGGGAGGCUGCCAUCCAGCUUCUGAUGAAAGCAGAAGUUCCUGAACUGUGGCCCAGAUAAAGCUCAAGACUCAGCUGGGGCUAGAGCUCAGUGGCAGAGCCCUUACCUAGCCGGUAUGGGGCUCGGGGUCGCACCCCCAGCACCUGCCAAAAAAAAUCGGGAGCAUGCUGAGAAAAAUAACUUUGGGGGCUGCUGAAAUGAAGGGGAGAAGGAGUGAACAGACCAAUGAGGUGGUGGGCGUCCUGUCACCAGCCAUGCCUGCUGCCAGCGUGGGCGCUUCCCUCACCCAGGCCCAGCGCUGCCCCUCUGAGAUGGUGCCUCAUGUAGCAUCAGGGGCUCAGGUACACUUCCUUCCCCACCUCCCUCCCCGCCAGCAUGUCAGGCAGAAGCAUCCAGAGACACUGGCAAUGCUCAGCUCACCCUGGCAGUGCCAGAGGAAUCAGGGCCAUGUGGGCCGAAGCACCCCUUGAUUUUGCCUCUCAGAAAGUGGCCGGGUGCCCCAGAGGAGGGAGUCUCCGGCCCAAGGUUGGGGUGUGUGUGUGUGUGCGUGUGUGUGUGCGUGUGCAGAUUCAGCCCAAGCCACACAGCCGCUGUGCAGGGCAGGGGUGUCCCGGAGGAAAGUGCAGGUGGCCCCACCGGGCAGGGCCAGCUAGCAUCCAGGCCCAGGGAGGGGCAGGACAGCCUGCCCAGACCCCACUGCCCAGGGAUGGGGGUCGGGCCAGGGCAGGCCCUGCGAUUCCACCCUGGCCAGGGAGUACUGGGCCGUUUUCUCCGCCUCUGCCCACCGUGGCCAUGGCCGAGAAGCAGCACUGUGGGAGGUGGGUAGGGCCCAGCUGUCUUGGGCCUCUGUCUGCUCUCCCAAGCGCAGCCUCCCGCCUCUGACAUUCCAUGGUGCGACAUCUUGCGUCUGGGUGGCCUGCCCGGCUGUCGCCAAGAUGGACACAGGCACUCUGCCUUCUCAGCCCUUUGGACCAGUGGUGUUCCUGUCCACAUUUGGAAGGCGGGGAACCUUGGGCUCAGAGAGGUUCCACAAUGAGCCCGGAAGACCUUGCUCUCCCGGGACGUGGCCAGCCAUGCUCCAAGGUCGUGGGCUGAGCUUGCAGCCGUGGGUGACUCUGGAGCCAGGCAGCCAGGGCUGGGGCGCAGAGAGGAAUUCAGCAGGUUCCACCCUGCAGGCGACUACUCAUGCUAGCCCUGUCAGCGGUAUGCCCGAGAGCGUUUGGGGAUGACUGAGUGUCGCUAUGGGGCUCAUCGCUCUAACGUGCUGUGCAUAAAGGCCCGUGUUUAUUUGGGCUGCAUCCUGGACUGCCCGCAGCUCUAAAGUGAGACAGGAGGACAGUGAGGUGGCCACGACCCGCAUGCCUGUGUGUCACCCCCGGGUGUAUCCACCCAGCACCACGACCCAGACUGUGGGCGGGUUGUUCAGACAAGCACCUAGACCAGCCACACUUCUGUUUCAGUGUGCCGGGCUGGGAGGGUCUCCCGCGAGAGACCCGGGCUCUCUCCGAAGCAUGCAGCAUGUUCUCACAGAGGGAAAAUCUGCUGCUCACAACUUGUAUUUCCUUCGAAGCUUCUGUCCCGUUCUGUCAGCUAGCUGCUCCAGCGAGGGGUGGAAGUAAAUACUCUGAGGUGUCCCAGGGCCUCAGAGUGCAGUUCUUACACAAACGAAGCUCCUUCUGUUGGGAAAGGCUCUCUUGUGCUUUCUUCCCUUCUGACGUGAGGCUGAAUGGCCCCUGUGUGAGAGGAGGAAAUGCAGGAGGCUGUCAGAGAUGGGGCUCCUGAGACAACCUGUGCGCUUCAGAGCUGCCCCGGGGCGACAGUGGGAAGGAGAACUGGCAGCAGGCCCCACGGAGCCCCCACCUCGGGGGCUCAGAAAUACUAGUGACAGGGUGGUGGUGCCCCAGGCAUUAGGCUGAGCACUGUCUCCAGUCUCCUCCAGUCCCCCGGAGCACGGUGAUGAGAGGGAUCAGGUGCAGGCCCAGGGAGGAAGCGACCGCCCACAGUGGCACCUUGGUGAGAGGCAGAGCAGGCCAGGCACUCAUGACCACGUCUGACAGGGACAGGGAACCAGGGCACCCUGGACCGCGAAGGUGCUGCAGGACAUGGGCCUGGAUGCAGUGCUGCAUGCUGACUCAAGGAUGAUGGUGACAGGGCCCAGGGCUGGGGCGGGUGGUUAAGGAAUGACCCCGGAAGUGCUCCCUGUGGCUUUGCAAAGGGGGGAGGGAUGCAUUCUUAUUUGUGCUUCAGGGUGUGUGAGUCAUCUGCGCAUCUGUCCUUCAUAAGGCGCUCUUCCAAGAGGGAUCUGGGAGGAGGUGACCUAAUCGGAAGGCGAUUCUAGAUGCGGAAUGUCUAAUUUGACCAACACUGCAUCUCCACCGAAACCAGCCCUGUCCUUGUCUUCCAGGACCUGAGGUGCAAAGGACACAUCCGGGCUGGGUGUGCUGUCCUCCUUACUUUAUAGGUUUUAUUUUUUCCAGGAUUAAAAAAAUACAGUUACCUUUCUUGAGCUCACAGGGGCACCCAGGGUGGAUUUCCAGGGGCAGGAAGCUGUGCAGAGUUCAUUGGUGGAAAGGAUGAAUUAAGAGAAAACCACUCAGAGGAACAGAAAGGCAUCCUAGGCAUUUGAGGCCAGGAGCAGAGCUGAGAGGGCUGUCUCCCUCUUUCAUUGUAUGGUAAGAACUGGGGACAAGAGGGGGAGCAGCACAGGGCGGCUCCCCAGGACUAGAUCCCGGAAGCGAUGCCGGCUUCUGGUCCUUUAUUUAUUUCUGUUUCCUUUGUAAAGCCCCAUCGUGCAGCAGAAGAACAUAAUUUAGCCUUGCUGUUUGUCUCCGUUUGCCAGGGCUGCCCCGACAAAGCACCGUACAUGGCCUGGGCGGCUUAUUCCCGACAGACGUGGAUUUCCUGUUCCAAGGCUGGGCGUCCAAGCUGGGGUGCACCCGGCGGCCUGUGCUCGCUCCCCACUGCCAUCUCCUCACAUGGUGGCCUGUAGCCAGGAGAGGGGACCCCAGCGCACCCCAGGAGCUGCCCCGGAGCAGCCCGCUCCCCAUGACUGCGGCCACAGAGACCGUGAGAAGCAGCGAGAGACACUGCUGAGGCCACUGCAUUCUAGCGUGGUUUGUUAGGCAGCCAGAAGCAACCAGAAGAAACCGGGUUUAUGUUUUAAAAAUAAACAUUUUAUUGAAACAUCACAGGGAAGGGACAGGGAAGCCCCCCGCCAGGGCAGCAGGCCCAUCAGGACGCAGCGUGUGCCCCUGGACGGCCCCCGGGGUGACCCCGCAGCCCACAGAGUGGCCUGGCAGGCGCAGAGGGAGACACAGCUCCCGGGCCAGUGUAGGUCUGCUCGCCCCUCCCUGUGGUGCACUAGGUCCCGUGGUGGCUGCCCUGAGCCUGGGCUCCCUGGUCCUCCUGGCCCGGUUGUGCUCCACGACGCAGUGGACACAGCUGUUGUCCCUUCUGCUGCAGUCACUGAGACCACCUGUGUGGGGUGUUUCUGCCGGGGGCUCAGGCCCUCGCCUGUGCACACCCCAGUCAGGGCUCGGUGCCCUCACUGCUGCCUCUCUCCCAGGGCCCUCGACGCUGCCACUACUGCCUGCUGGUGGCCUGGGCAGCUGGGCCAGCUGCCAAGUGACGCUGGCUCCUUUGGUUCCGAGUCAUGGACUUUAGAAGGUAGUACCCUGAGCCACAUGGGCGCCCCGCACCUGGCGCCCCACCUGGGAAAGCCCACCUGGUGUCCCCCACGGGUCUCUCAUGACCACAUGCAUCGGCGGGGCCUGGGGAGGCCCGGCCCGGGAGCGCUUUGUGCAGGGAGGAGUCCUAGGCCCCGGGCGACGGUGCCGGGUGGGAGACACUCAGAGCAGGGGGUAGACCCUCAACGCAGGACGCCGGGGUCAGGGCUGCUGCCCCAGGGGGUGCACGUGUACAUGGUCCUCGGCUUCUCGUGCCCACUCGAGGAGGCAGUUGGCCACACCUUCCAACUGCCAGCUUCCAAGACAGAGAAGACAGCGUCUGCUGUUUUAAGCCACCAGUCCAGGGGCUAAAUCCAGAUUUCUGUGCCUCAUCUUCCACAUAGGAAUAUAUGCAUGCUUUUGCUAAAUAAAGACAUAGCAUUAUAAGUCUGUAGGUAAUGAGUCAAAUUCAUUGACUUGUGUUAGAAAGAUAGGAUUUUCUUCGUGCAUUUUCUGUGCUGAUGCAGAUAGAAAACCAAGACCACAAAGGGCCCCUCUUGUUUUAAUUGUUUCAUUCCUUUAAACAACAAACACUGGCUGAAACAAACAGAAAAGUAUUUUUUUCAUGAACCAAACAGAAAGGGAUCAGUGCACUUAACUGAUCACCCGUUCCCACCAGCGUAGAGACAGACGCGGGCCUGAGACAGAGAUGUGGGGUGCGGCAUCUGGGUUUUGGGGUUUUCUCUUCUGAGGGAUGAGACAGGAGCCUUCCGAGAAAUGCACCCGGCGAGCCGCCCCAGGCCGCUGUGUCAGCCCUGCCGACUGCCUGAGGUAUGAGCUGAUCUCCGGCAGCUCUGCUUCGCCUGGGCCUCAGCUGCAGGCAGGAACCUCCACCCUCCAGGGUCAGAGUCCUCUCCUUGAGAGCAGCUCAGUCUGUUUUCUGUUGAUAGAACAAAAUAACCAAGGUGGGGUACUUUAUAAUUUGUUUAGCUCACAGUCUUGGAGGCUGGGAGUUCGAAACCAGCUGGCCCCUUCUGUUUGGCCUCUGGCCCCCUUCCCCUGCCGCCCCCACCCUGCAACAGUGUGUCACCAUGCAGCUGCCAGUAGCAUCCUGGCAGACAUAGGAAGCCAGACGGGAGCAGGGCAGACUUGCUCUUUUAUAACAAUCAUUUGCAUAAACCCCACCCAAGGGCACACCUCCAGGGACCUAACCACCUUACACUAGGCUCCUCCUCUUAAAGGGGCCAUCUGUCCCAAGACCUAGGACACACCAGUCAGGAGCUCCAGCCCUUCUGUGUGGAGCCAGCAGAACCCACAUCUUUGAAAAUUCACUCGUGUUCCCCAAACACUUGGGAAUCCUGCCCUCAGACUUGCUGUGGUCCAGUCUCCUUCAUCUCCCCACAGUUGUAAGACCUAGAUCACUCUCUUCCCCUCUGGAGUUUCUCCUCCAGGAACCUAGUGAGAGUUUCAGAGUGAGCACUGCAGAAAAUCCCUAGCACUGUGAGAAAGGAGCCGUUCUGACCACAUGGGAGCUCUGUCUGCCUGGGCCAGUUAGUGCCACACUGAUCGUGGGAAGGGAGACACCAGCUCCAGACCUCCCAAAUACUGUUCCACUGGGGAAUGGGGCCUGAGACACACGUGGGGCAUCCAUCGUCCAGGGCUUGGGCUCACUGGAAGACUGAGACCCACCCACAGGACUGAGGAGAACUUCCUGCAUUCGGCAUAUCACUAAGCACAUCAUGUAGCACCUCAUGGCUGACAAGCAGGAAACAAGUACCAGGCAUACUAAAAGGCAAAAGCAGAGUUUGAAGAGACAGAGCAAGCACCAGAACCAGACUUACAGGGCACUAUGGCUCCCCAAGAUGUGGCACACUGGAGAUUUAAACAGUAUGAUGAGCCCUUGCUGCCAGGCCUCCUGGGUCUCCACAGGCAUAGGACAUUCACAUUUGUAGACACUGAGUUCCAAGGGAGGGGCCGCCUGGGGUGUGCAUAAGCAAGUCUGCCCUGUGAAAGCCUCCUCCACAGCCCAUGCAGAUGCCAGCUGCCUUCGUCAGGGAUGUGAGGCUGCACUUUCUGUUGGCAGGAAGCUGUGACUACUGUGCUGUUGGGAACCAUUAAACCAUUGUUAAUGGGUUCAUUCACUUUUUUAGGUUAAAAGUCAUGGCCAAAAAGAGGACUCUUUUUCUGAGUUGAUCUGGAGGGGAGAAUCAGAAACAAACAAGGAGUUGUAGGAACUUGGGUUUGGGUUCAAGAUAAGGACGGAGUUGGUAAAGGUGGGUGCCUCCCAGCAGUGACCCCCAGGGUCAGAGUGCCCCCGACACAGUGCUGAAGCAGAGGCUUGGCAUCCUUCACAUACCUCCCCACGGGAAGCAGCAGGUCUCACAGCCCGAGGCUGGCAAGUCCAAGGUGAAAGUGCUAGCUACUUCCAGCCCAUGGAUGGUGCACUGUUGCUGUUCUACAUGGCAGAGAAAGACAGAGUAGUAGAAGUGGGAGAUUAAUUUGCUUCAGGGAAUUGGCCCACACUGUUGGGAGGCCAGGCAAGUCUGAUGUCUAUAGGGCAGGCUGGAGGCUGGAAACUCAGGCCAGAGCUGCUGCUGGUUUUUUCCUCUCCAGAAGGCUACUGUUCUGCUCUUAAGGCCUUCACCUGAUAAGAUGAGGCUCGCCACACUGUGGAAGGUCACCUGAUUUACUUAAAGCCAGCUGACUAACCACAGCUACUGAACAUCUCCGCAGAAAUGUUCAGAUGAGGGCUUGAUGCGGGAGUGGGACAGCAGCCUGGCCACAUGGACAUGCAGACUUGGGUAUGCCAGGGAGGUGAGCUUGUCAAGGUGGCAGAAAGCCAAAGCCACGACCACUAGCUUCCUAGGCUUCCUAGAGCUUCCUGGAGAGGACCCUGCUCAAGGCCCAUCACCCAACGUGGACAGGGUGACAUAGCAAUGACACCGAGCACUGGCCAGGCACCAGGAGCUGCUGGCCACCCCAUGAGUAUCAUUAACCCCUUCAGUCAGAAAGCUGGGUCAUCGCAUUUUGCAGAUGCAGAUGCGGUCACAACCAAGGACCCCACAGGGCAGUGACUCACUUGGGGUCACAAGGUAGGCACAGGAGCCAGGACUUAGCCAGGUGCUGUGCCUCUAGAGUCUGCUGCCUCUGCCGUGGCACACGACACUUUAGGAUGUCACUCUCUGACAGACUCGGGGCCGGGAGCGUCGGCAGACUCCAGAUCCUGCCCAUCCCACCCCAGGACGAGGGUGCCUCUCCUUAUCCAGAGCAGGACAUAAGCCCCACCUUAGCCCCCGGAAUAUUUUGGGAAUCCGUGUCUGCUGAACACUUUGGGGAAGCGUGAAAACAGUUUUUCAAAUGCCAGUUUUGGUUUUUUUUAAUCAAUUGUAGGUUUGCCCUUGGGGUAACAAACAUAAAAUCCCAAACUUUCAUCCCACUGGAGCAAAUAAAAAUUACCUUGUUUGGUUUUUUGUUGUUGUUUUUUCUUUUUUGAGACACGGUCUUGCCCAGGCUGGCCUCAGACUCAUGGUGAUCCUCCUGCUUCAGCUUCCGAGGGCUAGGAUUUGCAGGGAUGCACCACCACCCCCGGGUUUCCCCAUUAGGUUUCCAAUAAUUGUGCCGUGGCUUUGGAUUGGAAUCCAGAUGCCACCCAGGGAGACCUGAGACCUAGGACAGGGGUCAGAUGAACUGGGUGCAUCAAAAUGCCCAGGAAAGGUUCGGCCUUUGACCAGGCGCAGCGUGGGCAGCGGCACUGGCUGCUGUGCCUACGAGUGGCAUUGUACAGGCAGAGCCACCCAGUGCUCCGGCUGCCCGGGAACAAGGUGCCCCACAAGCUGGGGAGAGGAGUUCCACCCAGAGCACCUGGACGUCAGGACAGCGGUCCCCACAGGGCAAAGCCCUCAGCUCUGGCCUCAGGCUCUGCAGGUGUCAACUCACUGUGGCCGCCCCAGCAGCCCCUCCAGCUUCGGGUGUCCCGGGCUCCACCCUGCUCUUCUGGCUUCUCAGGCCCAGGCCCGGCCUGCUGGAGGGCGGCUCCGUGCAGCAGCCUGGCCGGAAACGAGAGUCUCCACCGAAUGCACCGCGCCACGGAAACCGCGGUGAAAUUGCUCCCUUCCUUCUAGGGCAGCCCCAGGAGGCCCAGGGACAAGAGGGCAUUGUGUUGGGGGGGACCCCUCCCCGGCACAAAGGGCGUCUUUCACGGCUGCUGACUGCACAGGCGGGUGGGAGCCCCAGGCCUCCUCAUUCCUGGGCUCCUGGCACUGUGCCCCAGGUCAGAGCUGCCGCCCUGGAAGGAGCCAGCUGCAGAGACCCCGGCCCUGGGGCUGGCAGAGCUGUCCUGCUGGCGCUGGUUGGCUGGGACACGGCUGUCACUGCGCUGAGCUGUCCGUCUGGGAAAGUCAUCUGCGUAGGGAAGGGACCGUGUGUGGAUGGCUGUGUUAUGGGGUGAAGGGCUCUGGAAAAGACACAUGGGAGGGGGAGCCCCAUACCCUGGGGGAGCCUGGAGCUCGGAGGACGGGUGGGCGGGCAAAGAACUCAUACCGAGCUUGCGGACGGGACCGUGAACAGGUUGGAUACAAAGCCCUCUCGGUCCUGCAAAAUCUCAGGCUCUACUCAGUCCGGGAGGCCCAGGCAGGCAGGGCUUGAGUGGCGAGUGUGCGUGUGUGUGCUCGUGAGUGUGUCAGGAUGUGAGUGUGUGUGUGUGUGUAUGUGUUGGGGAAGAUCUAAAAAUGUAAUUGCUUUCAGCAGAACACGGCCCACGGUGUAAUUAAAGCGAGGGGGCUGCCGGCUCCUAGAGUUUAAGUGAUUUCAUGUGCAUUUGGUGAUUAUGCCCCUCUCUUGGGAUAAAAGUGCGGCUUCUAUUUUCACAUACAAAAUGGUUCCCAGACCAGGAGGCAGGGACUCAUUCCCUGCCCGCCUGGGCAUGAGGCUGGCCGGGCGGGCCGAGGGGAAGCUGGGCCUCGGUGGGUGCUGGUGAGGGGCCGGGAGAGGAG
Molecule: long non-coding RNA, 20620 nt
Filed under: Heterocephalus glaber (naked mole-rat)
Lineage: Eukaryota; Metazoa; Chordata; Mammalia; Rodentia; Bathyergidae
Description: lncRNA (ENSHGLG00000042995.1)
Source: RNAcentral